Lampris incognitus (smalleye Pacific opah) is the source of this 149-nucleotide long non-coding RNA. RefSeq lists it as uncharacterized. Lineage: Eukaryota; Metazoa; Chordata; Actinopteri; Lampriformes; Lampridae. The transcript has 3 exons. The record is from RefSeq and is a predicted model, not a curated record.
CUGACAACCAGGAGACCGGAGCAUGAAUGAUCGUGUAAGCAAGUAGUCAGCAUGAGCAAGAGGAAAGUAACAGAAGAUAUCCGGUGCUUUCUUGGUGCAAAAAAGAGAAACGGAGAACAGUGAGCAGGCCGGCCCUAGUAGCAACGGGG